RNAcentral lists this long non-coding RNA (673 nucleotides) under Anas platyrhynchos platyrhynchos (common mallard). Its description in RNAcentral is "lncRNA (ENSAPLG00000021414.1)". The record is from RNAcentral. Lineage: Eukaryota; Metazoa; Chordata; Aves; Anseriformes; Anatidae.
UGUGGAUGUGUAGAGUUUAUUGCACAAUUUAUGAAGUGGUGAGAUUGCUGUAUGCAAAUCUGUCUAGAUGGCUCCCUCAGAGGCUUGCGCUAAUUACCCGAGGCAGGCAGGGAAGAGGGAAAGAAAAAGGUAUACAAAAACUCACUAGUUUUUCUUUCUUUUGUUGCUGUUGUUUCUUAGGGUCAAAGAAGAGACUUGACAGAAAAAUUAAGCUGAAAGGUUCUUGCAUUGAAGAAAAAUCUUCAUCCACUGUGAAGCCAUGUUGUGAAGCUCCCACAGACUUGCCCUGACUGUCAAAUUGUGUCAUUUUAAUGAUGCUGUAGUAUCUCCAAAGGCCUAUUUAAAUCCAUUUACCUGUUAGGCUGAAUUUUGGGGGGAGACUGAAAAUGUAUGGGGGAGCAUGGGAUUUGAAGUCUACACAAGACUGAGAAGCAAGAUCUUUUUUCUCUAACCAAAUGCAUGUGAUGCAGUCAUUUAGAAGGAAUCAGAAGCUCUCUUCAGAUGAAUAUAUGUGUGGCAGGACACGAUGGAUGACAAAGUUUACAUUGAAUUUGUAUUGUGUGCUUUAGCGAAUAUAUCUAUCUGAAAUGUAAGUACAAGAGAAUUCAGAUAUUUGCUCUCUAGCAGCAGAUUUUGUGUAAAAAUAAAGAAACCAUCUUGAAGUAAUGUUGCA